Gallus gallus (chicken) is the source of this 110-nucleotide microRNA precursor. The record is from Ensembl. Lineage: Eukaryota; Metazoa; Chordata; Aves; Galliformes; Phasianidae.
GAGGUUACCUGUACUCGGUAGCAGACCUGAAGUGAGGUGGGUCUGAGGAUAGAGUGGAUAUUUGUGUAUCAAACUGUUCUCUUCCAUCUAGCCGAGGAGGGAGUUCCAUU